GCUCCGGUGGCCUAGUGGUUAGAGCAUCAGCAUCGGAUGCGGGAGAUCGUGAGUUCGAUCCCCGGCUGAGUCA
Potamilus streckersoni is the source of this 73-nucleotide non-coding RNA. NCBI's taxonomy places the organism in Eukaryota, Metazoa, Mollusca, Bivalvia, Unionida, Unionidae. The record is from the annotation of a GenBank genome assembly.